This 6158-nucleotide long non-coding RNA is filed under the name Homo sapiens (human). RNAcentral describes it as "HSALNT0298338". The record is from RNAcentral. Lineage: Eukaryota; Metazoa; Chordata; Mammalia; Primates; Hominidae.
CAGCCCCAAAUUCUUCAUACCUCAUCAGAACCUCUGAGGCAAUGAGAAACAACCUUGUGACAGCCCCCAGAAGAGAGAGGGAGGUGGGUGGGUCUCACAGCAGCUCAUCACGAGCCUCUCCUGAGCUCAUGUUUAGGGAGGACUGUGAGACAUUCAUUGAAGACAUACAUGAGCUGCAGUCCAAGCCUUUGCCUGCAUGUCCCAUCCAGACACGUGCAAGGCCACCAGGGCACCAUAGUGGAGCCAUCUCUUACACCAUCCUUCUGAAGCAUCCAUCUCCUACGAUGGUCAAGUGAGAUAGACUACAGCAGGAUCUCUCACUCCAUUUUGAAGACUGACUUAUCUUGCUUGCCCAAAUUUCUUGUAGCUGCUUGAAAUCCACAGAGAAGUUUUCUUAUGGGCAGAUUUCAGUUACUAAGAUAGCUUAGGCCCACUCCAUCACACGUUACACUUGACUCCAAGAGGAUGCCCAAUGUAUUAAGAAAGUAAAGCACUUUCUGAGUGCUUUGGUGCAGAUUUUGCCGUACAAGGCUUUAGUUGGUGACCUCAGACUAGUGGUUAAGAACUUAGACUCUGCAGUUGGAUGGUUCUGCCACUUACUAGGAGGGUGAACUUGAGCCAGAUAUUUAACCUCUGUAAGUCUCCAUUCUCUAAUCCACAGAAUGAAGACAACAGCACAAGAAACUUGUAUGAAGCAGUGCAGGUAACGUGCUCAGAAUGGUGUCUGAAACAGGGUAAUACCCAAUAAACGUAGCCCUAUAUGUUAUUGGGAAUCUAUUGGCGCUGAGCUCUUUACUGAGCACAUGGCACUGGGGAGAAAGACAAGGGAAAAGAAACCCAAACAUUGUUAACUUACCAUAUAGUUGAAUGAACUGAACAUGGACAGUCAUAAAAUAGCCUACCGAUGAAUAUCAACCACGGUCUUUGCAAAGGAGAAAUCAGUAGUCAUAAAAUUCAUCCUUUGGUUGAACUAUGUUUGAUUACAGUUCUAAGUUGGCCCAGUGACUUGUGGAUAAAGGCAGAGAGCAGUGGGUCACUCCGUAAAGGCCACCACCAGAGUGCUGUCCAUAGAGUCUCUUUGUAUAAUGGUCUUGGCCAGGCAUUGCUCGCUUACCUCCAUUUUCCUUUCACAGUCCAGCCUGAGGAAUGCCUGCUCAACUGGUUUGAUCAUUUUGACUGAAACAAGCGGUCAUUUCAUGUCCUAUGGGAUGCUUGCUGAGGACAUUAAACACAGAAACAAGUAGAACAUGAAUUCAGAGUGAAGGAGAUGUUAAAGAGGAGAAAACAGAAUCUCAGAGAGUAACCUGCCUUAACCACAACAAUAAAGGAGACAAGUGGCAUGAAUCUAUUUACAAAGAGAAUCACCUCUGUGUCUGUGACCCGAGAGCCAUUCCCGUAGUGAUACAACUUGGACAUUUGUUCAGGAGGCAAGCGCUCACGCUGAGUGAUUUUCAAAGCUGUUCGAGGGCAUUUAUCAGGCUUUUAACUCUAGGUACUCUUUCCCACGGUGUGAAGGCCAAGAGAAGGGAUCCUGGGCUCUCUUCCCCGGCCCCAGGAUGGGAAUUCAGGGGGAAAAGGUCAUCUACUCUUAUCCCACAAAAGAAAACUUAUUCAUCAGUUGUCAAGCUAAGGAGCUUCGGAGUCCACAAAUAGGGAAAUUGCUAAGAGCUUAUCAGUAGUGUUCACCCCCCAACCCAACCUGGGGCCACAUGGAGAAUGAUGUUGGGGGCACCAAUCUUGUCCUACUUCAGGUGAAAAGCAGGGGUGGGGGGUUCAUUCUGAAGGGCUCCUUUGUUAAAAUUCCUUCCAAUUCCAGGAAAAACAUGCACUCCAAAGCCAUUAUCUCUUUUACUUCUUACUAGGGGACUUCCAGGAAAGAGACAGAGGGAGCGAGAGAAAAAAAGAGGAGGGCAGAACAGCUGCAGUGAAUUUAGUCGCCUCUCCAGUUGCUUUCCUUGUUGCAGAAUAUUUCACAUCCCAGGAUUUUCCUUCUUGUCCUCUGGACUGUUGAUACACCCAAGAUCUUAAUAUCCUUUCGAUCACAGGUUAAAGACAUGGGGUGGGGCCGGGGGUUGAGGGAGCAGAAAAUUGUAUUUUAAAGUUUUGUUCUAUUUGUUUUAUCAGCAAUUAAAACUUUUUGUGGUCCCUACCCUGGGCCAUGAGGCCACCCUGCUGUGAAUUCAAUCCAGCCUGACCAGCUAGGACAAUGAUCAUAUGAAUUAAUGGAUCUUGAUAGACCUCAGUUCCCCUCUUCUCGCCUCACUGAGCACAGCCCAGGCUUCAGUGGCUGCACGUGUGAGCAUCCACUCCCACACUCUACCCAAAUCACAUGCUGAAUUCAUUGCACAUGUGAGCCGUGCUGCACCUGUGGUCUGGAGAUACCAGAGUAAAUGUAGCUGUGCACCUCCUCUGGGUGUCAGAGGACCUGAGGUUGCUCCUCUGCCUCAAUGAGGGGAUCUUCCUUCUUCCCUCACAUCUCUCCUCCUCUUUGAAGUCGGUAGCAUGAUUUGGACCCAGCCUCUUGGGAGAGGUGAAAUACUCUUUCACUUUGGAACAGCUGAGGUUUGCUCAUGGAAUCGGAGGUGCUGAAGUCACAAGAUCGUGGUGUGGGUGACGCUGGCGUUUCUUAGUAAUGAGCCUUGCUGACACAUCCCAGGAGAGGAAGUUAGGUUAGGGCAAGGCAAGUGAAUGAAAUUGAUUAAAGGCUGCAACAGAUUAAAAAAAUUAAUGUACUUCAUUUAGGGUUAUGAUGUCUUCUUUCCUGGGUUAAUCCAUAGGCAAUGUGGGAUUAGGGCUCCUUAACCUACACCUGGAAGAUUUCACGUCAGAGGAAGGUAAGAUAGGGGAAUCUGUAGGGGCUGGUCUGUGAGCCAGCAUUGAGAGUUUAAAUUGAGCCCCAUAAGGAAAGCCUUCCUUAUCUCCCAUAACUAGGAAUUACGAUGGUGUCUGAGGAGGGGAGGCCUCUGGAUGCAGGGUUUACUGUAAAACUGAAGGACAGCAAGGCUGAUGCUCACAAGUGAGGGUGGAACAGGUAUGGUAAAAGUGCUUUGCAUUCAGCAGUCACUCAACAAUGACUGAAUUAAAGCUAUUUUGUGAUAAACUUUGUUUGAUAGGCUACUGCCCCAGAAUGUUUGCAAAUAUGCUCAUUUUUGAGGUUCACAGCUGUCCUCUCCUUCCUGAGGUUCUACUGAGGCAUCAUUUACCUCCUGGUAGAUGUGAGAUGUGGUGAUCACUAUAGGGUAGGCAGCUUGGAAGCAAGGAUUGGUGAGCAGUCUUUUGUUCUGAGUUACUACUGCAAUGUAGGCCAAAUUCCUCUAAUUUUUUUUAAAAGACAGAGUGUAGAUAUUGAUAUUCUCAUUUCCUUUGGAGCUAGAGUAACCCAGAGUAAUAAAACCCCUUGGGCAAGCAAAGCAAACACAACUCAAGACAAACCACUUGCACGAGAGGCUUCAAAUGGUGAUUUAGAUUUAGAAAGUUAAGUGAUGGGAUCUUGAAGACCACAUAUUCCUUGGGAAAGGCACAUGAUCUGGCCAGCCUGAAAUGCAUCAUCAGCCCCUUUGAGGAGGUCAGUGACCCAUGUUAAUGUAAGGUAUAAAAUUCCAGGUUGUGGAAUUCGGUGGUGCAACUCAUGAGGGUUCCUACAUUAUAGCAAUCUUUAAAUGGUUUGAUAAAGUUGAGAGAGAGAAACAAAACUGAAGAUUCUUUUUUCUCUCUGAGUAAUGAGACUCUUGGAUGAAAGGCUUUUUCUAUAUAUGGUUUUUAAUCUUCAUUUUCCACUUUCUGGUACCCAGAUCGGCGCAGGGGAGAUCUUUAACUUGGAUAGCAGUUUGUAUUUCUAAUUCAGCCCCAGAUUAGUCUCCUAUUGUGUAUAUGAGAUGUUGAACACAAAAGAAAACUGCCUGAGAGUGUGAGUUGUGGAGGUGGCUGGGCCAGAUGCUUGCCUGAGUGAUGAGCUGCAGAUAUCGGCUCAAGUGGAAUACUAAAAAGGGCUGGUACAUGACUCCAACAUCAUUGAAUUUCCUUUUUCUCCUGCCAGUGGACAUGACAACUGAGGAUAAGGUGGCUGGGAGACCAUGAGGGCAAAUGUGACACAAGGCAGGAGUCUUGCCCGAGCUUGUCAGCUGGUUCUUAUUUCCUCAUGCUGCAGGAGCCUUCUCUGGUAGGGCAGAAAGACAAUGAGAUCUCCAUGCGAUUUUAUGGAUCAGUUUUCACUUUUCCAGAUGCAAAGAGAGGAGCCAUAAUUACCUUGCAUAUGUUUUGAUAGCAUCCCUUGGGCAAGUGGAAGGGGUAACUCACAACAGAUAAACUCUGCUUUUGCUCCAGAAAUGUCUCCUGCAUCUGCAACAGGGGGGUGUUGAGUGAUGCUAUAGGCAGCUGGAAGGGCUCAUUUAUUUGACCUAAUUAUUCCCAGUGUAGACCUGACUCAUCAUAAUGGGCUCUUCUUCAAAGGAAAUGAGAGCCAGAUUGUCUCCUUGGCAGCAAUGGAAAACAAAUGCUAUCCACAGAAUGGCUGUUAGAUUAAAAAAAGGUGCAACUUGCCUUUGGGGCCAGCUGAUGUUUAAUGAUGUUACCAAGAAUAGAGGACUGGAAAGAGAGUAGUGUCAACUUCUGACAUUGUAGCUUUCUAAAAAUGUUCUUAAUAAAAUUAACUUACCAUUGGAUGCCAUGAACAAAAGUAACCACAUACUCAGAAUCCAAGGAAAAAUGGAAGCCUUGGGGUGUUUUUAUUAAUAAUCGAUGAAAUCUCUAUGGGUACAAUGGAGGACUUUUCACAUAGAGACCUUAUUAUUUCUUAAUCCUCUUGGAUGCUCUAUUGAAGGAUUAAAAUGAUCUUUUUUUCCUAAGGGAUGGAGAAAUGGAGAAAGAGAGUUGAAAUAACUCUCCUAUUACCAUCAAGCAAAUCAAACACAGAAUGGGACCAGCAUGCCACAUUCCCUCUGUGAAGCCUUGGAGUGCAACUGCAUUAGCUCAAUGGUGCAUUUCACAACGUCACAACUUCAUCUCAGAUCAUCACAAAUUGUCCAUAUUGAAACCUGGGUGCAAUGAGAAUAAUCACUUAAAUUUUCUCUGGUCCCACUUUUCUGCUUUACAGUGGUAGUUGAGAAUGUCAUACCCCUAAGGACAUGGGGAAGAUGUGUCCUUGACUGAUUGAUCCCUGUGACACAGUCUGACACUUUGCUUUUGUUCAGCAAUUCUCAAAGCACUGGAUUGCAAUGAUGCCCUGUUGACAGCACUGUUCAAAAGUCGACCUGUUGUUGCUGGAACCUCCAAGAAUACAGUGUUUGAUCUCAGCCAGGAUCCUGUCUUGGAAGAGGAGAGGGAAUCCCAAAAACUACUUGUGAAGAAGAUCCCAUUGUUCAAUCAAAUCCUCGUCACUGUAGCAAUCCAUGCAUGCCAUUGCAGUUGGCAUUCUGACACGUGUACACAGUGUUUUCAUCUCUUCCCUGGAGUUGCAGCCAAAGCCUGAGAUUCCUUUCGACACGACCCUGAAAAAACUCUGGGUUUGUGCUCCCCUCUGCUCUGCAAUAACAUACCAGCUCUGUGAUGUGGCCAAUGUUUACCUAGUUGGUGGGAGGACUUUUUAAUAUCAAAAGGAAAACAUUUCUUCUGCAUUCCACAUAGAAUCUGCCAAGGACAUUCCCAAAGAUCUACUUACUUAUUAGAGAAACCAAGAGAGUCCCAGCAGCACAGAGGGAUCGAGAAGACUGAGAACAGAACUGGAGGUGAGAAUAUGGCCACAGGAGACCCCAGGACUUAACAAAUGCACUGGUUUGACUUAUUUUCUGGAUAUUUUCUGGAUGUAUAUACUGCCUUUACUUCUCUUUAAAAUAGGGGCAGUGCUAGAGGUAUUGACGUUUCUUGAAAUGUUCACAAGUCCUUGACACAGACUUCAGGGACUUGCAGUGAUCUAUGUAGACUGGAUAUGCUUCAAGUGGAAGGUUGUUGACUUUAUUUUGGUCCCUAGGGUUAACAUCCCACCUUAUGGAUUAUUCAAGUUAAACUCUCAACAGCUGUUAGGGCUUUGUACUUCCACAGAGCUCAAUCUUUCAGUUGACUGCUCAUUGCUGAGCCCUGUACCAUGCACUCUGGGAGUAAUAUAGGAAGUCUCUUCCUUAGGCAUUGAUUUGCAAAGGCUGAGUAGGUGAGAGUAUGAAGGC